Molecule: long non-coding RNA, 2726 nt
Filed under: Phaseolus vulgaris (common bean)
Lineage: Eukaryota; Viridiplantae; Streptophyta; Magnoliopsida; Fabales; Fabaceae
Description: long non-coding RNA (PVUL_LNC004467)
Source: RNAcentral
AAGGAGAGAAACUAAGCAAUUGGCCACAACAAAACUACUAGUAUUAAAUGCAGCUGCUAUCAUACAACAAAGUGAUUUAUGCUCUCAACUCUAGUUUGAGACCUAUAUGAUAGGGGAAUGUAGAGUAAAAAACUUUAACAGAAAAAAGAGAUUCCUUAAACUCUCAAACAUAUGCAGAGGUAGAGUUCACACAUUAGUGCAGUAAGAACAAUAAAAGUACUCUUGCCAAUAUUAUAGGUCAAUGGAUUGAGCAUAACAUGCCAAAAACCAAACCCACGACAAACAGCUAAACAAGCACAUGGAAGCUUUAUGUGAAGAGAAGAUGUGGCGCCCAACUGAACCAUCAUGACUUUUGGGACAAUUUUGAGCUGGCUGGCUGUUAGGGAAUGCUUGCACAGGCACAACCAUGCUGCAUUCUAUAAUAAAUGUCACAGGGUACGGUCAGAGUAUUAAGGUUUUUUUUAGGAUCUUGUUGUAAGUGAGAACAGAGAAUAAAACUUUUAUUUCACGGUUACUUUUUCAUAUAAGAAUACAUUCUCUGUAAAUAGUCUUACAAUAGACUUUCAAAUUCUACAUUCUCUCUCAUCAAAGCUAUACUAUAAAUUACAUUUAAAAUCACAAUAUAAAUGACAUUCAAAACUAUGAUUAAAGCUAAUAAUUAUUGAUCACUCAAAUUUUUAAAUAAAACUGAUGACGGUUUUGAGUUUAAUGCUAACAAAUUUCUCCCUUAAACUCAAACCUUUCAUAUUCUUCAUUCAAAUUGUUUUUCUGAUUGUCAUCACCCACAUUUCCAAUAUUUUCCCAACACUCACCACACUGUUCUGGAUUAGAAGCAACUUCAGUCUUCUUCACUGCACCAACCCAUGUAGAGUUCUGGAUUGAAAUACUUUUAGUCUCCCAAACAAAAUCUUUUGCAUUUUCACCCUCUGAAUUAAAAGGAUUUAAGAAAGACUGUGGCUUCAAUGAGCUUGGAACAUAAUGAUUAGACCAUAUAUCCUUUUCAGAUGAUGCCUUGACAGCAUCCCAUUUACUGUCUUUUCCCAAAUCAAAAUCAUUAUUUUCAAGUAAAACACAUGAACCAAAAGGGGCUUUUAAUUUGGAUUGUAGUUCAUUCACUUUUUCUUUUUGAGCCAAAAGGAACAAAUGAAGUUCUUCAACUUGAUUGACUCUACUUUCUUUGUCUUUCUCCAUAUCAACAUAUUUUUCUUCCAAUUUUGUAAACCUUUUUUUCCAGGUUAUCAAAUUUUGCUUCAACACUCUCCAAUUGAGAUACCAAGGCAUUCCUUUCAUUUAGAAGAUUGUGUUUUUCACUAGUUAGUAAAUUGCACAAUUCUUCCAAGCUACUUGAUUUUGUUCUUAAACCUUCAAGCUCAAUUUUUUCAUCACAAAGGGACUUCUCCGACAAUGUACUCUUUAAGUUGAGUUUGAACAUUCGAUUCUUUGCCAUCUCCACGUUUGCAAGUACUCGACCAUAUUUGUCCUUCAAGUGCAAAAUUCGGUCUUUCAUGAAAAUCUAAUAACCUUUCUCUAGUAGUUGUCCCAUACUAAGAAUAUUAUUCUUCAAAUUAGGUACAUAAUAAACAUCCUCCAUAGUGCCUUGUUUUCCAUCCUUUUGAGAAAAACACAUUUUUCCCCGGAACCUUUGUUGAGUCUCCAAAAAACACAUGUUCAUCUUUUAUCUCUUGUAUAUCGAGAAAGAGAUGUUUAUACCAUAGCACUAGUGUCGAGAUACCAUAUCAUGUCAAUAUCUAGAGUGACGUCUUCAUUGGCCAUCAUGAGAAUUCCUUCAUCUUUUGUCUCAUCUUCCUCCACUAAAUUUGCAUUUUCUUCCACUCUUUUCUUGGCAUAGCACUCCUUUGUCCAUAUUUGCCGCAAUUGUAACAUUCCACAUUUGAACGAUGUGAACGACCACCACGAUCACAAGCUCGUCCACGCCAAUUUUGUUGGUUCAUUUGUCCCCUCUCUUCAUUGUUAUUUCCAUGACCAUGACCUCCGUUGUGAUCAAAACCGCGACCUCCGCAUCCAUGUCCUCUUCCUCGGUUAUGUUGCAUGUACAUCACCUUGUCUUCUUUAAUGGUCAUCUUUGUUUGUAAGGCUUCCUCCAUGACUUCUUGUUUCUUUUUCUUCUUUCGUUGUUCAUGUGCAUCAAGAGAACCCGCGAGAUCAUCAAUGGUCAUCUCUUCCAAGUUUCUUGACUCCUGGAUUGCGCACACAACAUUUUCAAAGUCAUCGGUUUUCUCCACAACCCUUGCAUCCGUGAGAGUCUCUCCAUUGCGUUUUAGUUGAUUGGCUACCGUUUGCACACGAGUGAUGUAACUAGAUACAUCUUCCGAAUCCUUCAUCUUCAUGGCUUCCAACUCACCUCGUAGAGUUUGAAGACGUGUUUGUUUAACUCGGACUGCACCCUUGAACACCUUUUCCAAGAUGUCCCAUGCUUCCUUUGAAGUGGAUGCACCAGCAAUUAUCUCAAAAUUUGCCUCAUCAACAGCUUGAUACAACAUGUACAAAGUUGCCUUAUCUUUCGAUCGUGUCUCUUUCAACACUUUGUUUUGGGUCGCCGAGUAACCAGUAGUAUUUUCUGGUUCUUCAAACCCUUGUUGAACUACCUCCCAAAAAUCUUGAGAUCCCAUAAGGGCUUUCAUUUGGAUACUCCAAUUGUCAUAAUUGGUCAUCUUUGUUAAUUGAGGAAGGGACAUAUUAUUGGUUAUACUGGUCAUAGCUCUGAU